RNAcentral lists this ribosomal RNA (301 nucleotides) under uncultured bacterium. RNAcentral describes it as "partial 16S ribosomal RNA". It matches the Rfam family "Bacterial small subunit ribosomal RNA", at positions 509 to 807 of the family's 1533-position model. The record is from RNAcentral.
CAGUCGCCGCGGUAAUACAGAGGGUGCGAGCGUUAAUCGGAUUUACUGGGCGUAAAGCGUGCGUAGGCGGCUUCUUAAGUCGGAUGUGAAAUCCCUGAGCUUAACUUAGGAAUUGCAUUCGAUACUGGGAAGCUAGAGUAUGGGAGAGGAUGGUAGAAUUCCAGGUGUAGCGGUGAAAUGCGUAGAGAUCUGGAGGAAUACCGAUGGCAAAGGCAGCCAUCUGGCCUAAUACUGACGCUGAGGUACGAAAGCAUGGGGAGCAAACAGGAUUAGAUACCCCCGUAGUCCCUGUCUCUUAUAC